RNAcentral lists this transfer RNA (70 nucleotides) under Marmota monax (woodchuck). RNAcentral describes it as "tRNA.Ala". Lineage: Eukaryota; Metazoa; Chordata; Mammalia; Rodentia; Sciuridae. The record is from RNAcentral.
GGGCUGGGGCUCAGUGGCAGAGCGCUUGCCUAGCAUGUGUGAGGCACUGGGUUCGAUUCUCAGCACCACA